AUACAACUUUCAGCAACGGAUCUCUUGGCUCUCGCAUCGAUGAAGAACGCAGCGAAAUGCGAUAAGUAAUGUGAAUUGCAGAAUUCAGUGAAUCAUCGAAUCUUUGAACGCACCUUGCGCUCCUUGGUAUUCCGAGGAGCAUGCCUGUUUG
This 151-nucleotide ribosomal RNA is filed under the name Phlebia acerina. RNAcentral's name for it is "5.8S ribosomal RNA". It matches the Rfam family "5.8S ribosomal RNA". From Rfam's summary of the family: 5.8S ribosomal RNA (5.8S rRNA) is a component of the large subunit of the eukaryotic ribosome. It is transcribed by RNA polymerase I as part of the 45S precursor that also contains 18S and 28S rRNA. The record is from RNAcentral. Lineage: Eukaryota; Fungi; Basidiomycota; Agaricomycetes; Polyporales; Meruliaceae.